UACUGUUAGGGCUACUACCUAACACAAAAUUAGGAUCGAAAAGCCAUAAACAAGCAGCUAUCAACCUGUUCAUGCAACUUGGUUUAUUUGCUAACUGAGAAUGUAGGGGCUUCUUGAAGUCUUUAGUUAAACUAUUCUAACAUUAUUAUCUGCCCUUUCAUUAGUACGGUGAUGCAGAUCAUAUUCCUAGAGAUUUUAGGAAUACUUAUUUUAGAAAGAAAUAUAGAAAGUAGAAUCUAUUGGGAUUUGUGAUUGUGUAGUCCCAAUUAGAUUAGGAUUCCUAAUCCUAGUGUUUCUAGGGUUAUACAAACACUAUAAGCCUAAGUAUUUUACAGAAUUUUCAGAUUUUUGUUAUGACAAUUUUAUGAGA
RNAcentral lists this unclassified non-coding RNA (370 nucleotides) under Hevea brasiliensis (rubber tree). Lineage: Eukaryota; Viridiplantae; Streptophyta; Magnoliopsida; Malpighiales; Euphorbiaceae. The record is from RNAcentral.